RNAcentral lists this unclassified non-coding RNA (1099 nucleotides) under Zea mays. RNAcentral's name for it is "misc RNA Zm00001eb336380". The record is from RNAcentral. Lineage: Eukaryota; Viridiplantae; Streptophyta; Magnoliopsida; Poales; Poaceae.
CGCCGUUUCUCGAUCCAAGCAACAGCGACAACAUGCAUGGCGAUGGCGGCACCGUGACCAUGACUCCAUGAGGUUAACUGCAGAUAGAUCGAGAGCACUUGAGCACUACACCUUCUGUGCAGCGGUGGGCCCAGCAGCGUGGCCGUGGCCGCCGACGGACGCCAGGGCGCUCUUCACCGUCAUGGCGACGCGGCAGCCCCGGAGCGCCCGGAAGCUCUCGUGGCGCACGCUGAAGCACAUCGGCGCCGCCGCCUGCUCCUCCUCCUCCUCCUCGCUGCCGUCCACGUCCGCGGCCGAGAACGCGAACACCCGGCUCCGCCUCGACGACGAGCUGCACGCGGCGGGCGACCGCGCGCUGCGGAACGACAGCGACGACGCGGCCGAGGAGGCGAGCGCCGCAGACCACGAGGAGGAGGAGGAGCGGGAGGACGCGGAGCGCGACGAGGCCGGCCUGGACGACCGCCUGUGCAGGAUCAUCUUGGGCAGGAUGGCGCUGAAGACGCUGGUGUAAUAAUGCUUGGACAGCUUCUUGUUCUUGCCGGUGGCGACCGUGGCGGAGGAGGUCUGCCGCUGCUGCCUGGCGGUGUAGUAGGACGACGGCGGCGGCGUGAGCGGCGGCUGCAGGGUGGCCGUGGCGACGGCGUCGUCGUCGUGCUUGGGCGUGCCCGGCUGCGACUCCCACAGGAAGGGCACGGAGCCCGCCGAGGCGACGCCGUAGUACACCCGCAAGGACGGCGCCGCCGCGGAGCUCUCCCUGGUGAACAGCCUGGAGAACACCUUGCUCUCCCCUUGCUUCGGCUGGGGAGCCGCAGCCGCCUCCUCCUUGUCCUUGCUGGUGAUGGCUGGGGCUGCCAUGGAGGCUGGAGCGAGGUGAUGCGAGCGGGGAUCGGCAGGGAAGAAGAGAGAACGGCGAGGUCAGGACUCAGGACGUACAGGAGGACACUCAGGGUGUGCAGCAAGUGCUUUUAUGCACCUCCAGAGACAGACCACAGGGGAUGCUACUGUAGCUCAAUUCUGUUAUUGUACCGCGCCAUUUGCUUGGUUCUUUAACGGCUAAUUAUCUGUUGUAAACUCUGAUCAGAUUCAGAUCCCAGGAAGC